UAAGAAUUUUAAGAAGUUGGAUUUAUGCGCGCUUUGAAUUAGUUUGAAUUAUAAUUUGCCAAUUAGACUGUUUGGAGGGAAUGAUGAACAUAAUGAUCCCCAAAUUUGCUUUCUCGCGUUCAAACCCUUCUUCCUUGCCGCCGCUGCCGUGUGCCGCCCAACUCCUGCUGCCAUCGCCACAGCGUGUCCGUUCUUUUCCUCUUCCAAUCACACAAUCGAAAACCUUAAUUUUUCAAUUCCCCCUCAUUCUUCCCUUUUUCCUGAGCGAGCACAACUCCAAAAUCUUAUCCUGAAUACAGUUCGAAUUUGGAAUUCUCGGAAUUACUUGUCUUUCUCUCCCAUUUAUGCAAGUUUGUUGAAAUGUCAUAUUUUUUUUAAAUUUUAUCGAUGAUUUGGUUGCUCGAUUUUGUAACUCUGUUGGUUGUUUACUAGUUUUCACAAUUAGCUUUUUUUUGUACGGUUCUACAAUCAUAUGUUUUUUUUUUUCGUGGUCUGUUGCUUGUUGAUGAAUCAUUGCUAGUGCUCGAUUGAUGGAGUGAUUCAAUGUGUCAUUUGUAUUUAUAUUUCCAAGUAUACAAAUUCUACGAGCUUAUUUAAGUGCUUUGUCAGAAUUGUUGGUUACUGAAGUGUUUAUUUAUGUGAUGAACCUAGAUUUGUGAGCGAAAAUGGAAGUUUUGAGUUGAUGGCAUUACUUGAGCGAAUUUAUUUGCUGUUAAAAUGGUCUAGAGUUUCUUUAUUAUGGUGAUCAAUUGUGAUUAAUUACAUGUACACUUCAGUAUAGGUUUCAUAUAUUGGGAAGUUCGUGAAGGAUUUACAUUUCUUUGUAUUAUUGAAAUAGUUUGUGGGCUUCUUUUGCAUAGCAUUAGAAAAGUUGGCCUCCUCUAUCAAAGAGGAGGUCCAUCAUUUAUCAUUUUUGUUUAUAUUAAUCUAGUCAUUCAACCUUCUGCCAAAUCUCGUAGAAUUACUAGUUAAAAGCAUGCAAUACCCCUACACAUUUAGAGCAUUUAAUAAACCAUUUCGACUUCAAGUUUAUCAGAUACCCGUGCAUAUUUUACUUGUUGUAUAAGUGGCUAUAUGUAGUUGGCAUGUAAGGAGGUUUUUGCAUAAACUUGUGCCCACUCUUUUUAUAGUGAAACUAUUUUUAUUUUUUGGAGGAUGCUUCUUUUUGGUGAUGUAAAAUAAUAUUGUUUCCACUCUGUAGGACUAUUUGUUUUUCAUGAAGAAAACCUCUUGUAGUGGUUGUGGUUGUGUCUCUGCUACUAAUACUAGACAAUAUUUUUCCUAACGUGUUGUGGUUGCUUUUAUUUCUCAACUAUUUUAGUAGUUUAAUUCUUCUGUGGAUUUGCAGUAGAUGAAGACACAAUGACAAUCAUUCCAGUUAUGAUUUGUGAUCGAUGUGACUACUACAAUGCGGCCUUCUGAAUGUCUCCUAGUGAUGUCCAAGAGGAACAAAGGAAAAGUGCAAUACGGAAAAGCAAAGAGGAAGACGAUGACAUUGAAUGUUUAUUUUCAUUUAUGGAAUUUGCAUUAUCGCGUAGCUAGAUAAAUUUAAACUUUGACAUUUGAUGUUAGAUUUUGAAGCAGACAGAUCAAAAUUAUGUUGUUUUGUUAUUAGUUUGACAUUUUUUUUCUAUAUUUUUAAUAAUUGAUAUGCUUUAUUCA
Molecule: long non-coding RNA, 1662 nt
Organism: Salvia miltiorrhiza (redroot sage)
Lineage: Eukaryota; Viridiplantae; Streptophyta; Magnoliopsida; Lamiales; Lamiaceae
Exons: 2
Source: RefSeq, a predicted model, not a curated record